This 253-nucleotide ribosomal RNA is filed under the name uncultured bacterium. Its description in RNAcentral is "partial 16S ribosomal RNA". It matches the Rfam family "Bacterial small subunit ribosomal RNA", at positions 524 to 776 of the family's 1533-position model. The record is from RNAcentral. RNAcentral also lists the same sequence under 1 other name.
UACGUAGGGGGCAAGCGUUGUUCGGAAUUACUGGGCGUAAAGGGCGCGUAGGCGGCACGGCAAGUCGGGAGUGAAAGGCCUGGGCUCAACCGAGGAACUGCUUUCGAGACUGCCGAGCUAGAGUGCGGAAGGGGCAACUGGAAUUCCCAGUGUAGCGGUGAAAUGCGUAGAUAUUGGGAAGAACACCUGAGGCGAAGGCGGGUUGCUGGGCCGACACUGACGCUGAGGCGCGAAAGCCAGGGGAGCAAACGGG